Molecule: long non-coding RNA, 1247 nt
Organism: Peromyscus eremicus (cactus mouse)
Lineage: Eukaryota; Metazoa; Chordata; Mammalia; Rodentia; Cricetidae
Exons: 2
Source: RefSeq, a predicted model, not a curated record
UGAUACUAUGUAUGCUGAUAUUGAAUUGUUUCUACAAAAUUAACAUAAUUAAUUGCUUUGUUUUGCUUUCAUUAUUUUCAUUAUUAGUUUAUGUAUAUUGAAUAUUUUUAAAAAGAUUGCUAGUUUUUAAUGAUUAUCAUUUGUAAAAAAAUUCUGAGAAUUGAUCUAUAUCAAACUUUUAAAAGUGACAAUUAGUCUAAUGUUUAAAACAACACUUGGGAUAAACUUCAUUUACUCAUUCAGUAAAUAGACUGUGAGUAGUCACUUACUCCAUGCUAGCCCAUUACCUAACCAAUGAGGUUACAGUGGUAAGUAGACAAACACCUACUGGAAUUGAAGGAUACAUAAAUUACAAUAAAUGAGACAGGCACACAGAUAGACGUAUAGUAGUUAGAGGACAAAAAGCAAUUUUCCUGGACUGUAGGGGAAGAUGGAAGGAACUUAAGUGAGUAGGACCAAGUGGGAGAAGCUGAGAGCAUGGCAUAUAAGGAAAAUGGAAGGAAAUAUAAGAAAAGCCUUGUUCAGCCUUGCUGCAUGGGGGAGGGGCUUAGUACUGCCUCAACUGAAUGUGCCAGGCUCUGCUGACUCCCCAUGGGAGGAGCCCUGACACUUUUGGAGGAGGGAGUGGGGAAGGUGAGUCCUGGAGAACCUGGGGGAGAAGCAGAAGGAGGGAUGAGACAGGGAUCUGUGGUUGGUAUAUAAAAUGAAUUUUAAAAUAUUCUUUAGAAAAAGACUUAAAAAAAGAAAAGCCAGACAAAAAAUACUCAAAAACAGGAAGAUGCUGGAAUAUUGUGUCACUUGCCUGCAGGGACAGGGACAGAAAAAUCCAAGUUCAAGUCAGACAUGAAACAGGAGCCAGAUCUAUCUGUGUCAGGAGACACUGGCAGAAUCCUAGCUGUGAGUAUGCCCACUGUGUCUUUGUAGAGUGGAUUCAUUUUCUUUGUGCUACAGCAGCAGUAACAACAGCUGUAAAUGCAUGCAGCAGAAGCAGGUGCAGCAGAGGCUGGAGCCUCUGGCGAGGAAGCAGAAGCAUGAGAAGCAGAAACAGCAGAAGCAGGAGCAACAGCAACAGAUGUGGAAGUGGAAGCAGAGGCAGAAGCAACAGUUCAAGCGUUUCUGUGAUCAGUGUUCUCUAGUGUGACCUCUGGUCCCUGGAGUCAGUACUUACUCUCUUCUUGAGCCUUUAAGGAAAAAUGGAGAUGUGUUAUUUUUCAUAAAAAGGGAAUGUUACACUUUCAUUCAUUUUA